RNAcentral lists this unclassified non-coding RNA (215 nucleotides) under Hevea brasiliensis (rubber tree). The record is from RNAcentral. Lineage: Eukaryota; Viridiplantae; Streptophyta; Magnoliopsida; Malpighiales; Euphorbiaceae.
AUGGUCGCUGCAGCAAAUGUUGCUGGAGAUAGGGUUACGGAAGUUGUUGCCGUUAUUGUGUCCUGCAGGACCAAAAAAAAACUUGCUAUAGGGAAGGAAAUAUAUAAGAUCUAUAUGUCUUCACAUAAAAUAUUAACAUAAAAACUGAACUAGUCAAUUACUUGAUUAUAUGAUAGGUAUAUAAAUCAUAAUAAAUGUUCCAUGGUUUAGUAAAG